This 464-nucleotide ribosomal RNA is filed under the name uncultured bacterium. RNAcentral's name for it is "partial 16S ribosomal RNA". It matches the Rfam family "Bacterial small subunit ribosomal RNA", at positions 28 to 507 of the family's 1533-position model. The record is from RNAcentral.
GACGAACGCUGGCGGCGUGCUUAACACAUGCAAGUCGAACGGAAAGGCCCAGCUUGCUGGGUGCUCGAGUGGCGAACGGGUGAGUAACACGUGGGUGAUCUGCCCCUAACUUCGGGAUAAGCUUGGGAAACUGGGUCUAAUACCGGAUAGGACAAUCGUUUGGUGUCGGUUGUGGAAAGUUUUUUCGGUUAGGGAUGAGCCCGCGGCCUAUCAGCUUGUUGGUGGGGUAAUGGCCUACCAAGGCGUCGACGGGUAGCCGGCCUGAGAGGGUGGACGGCCACAUUGGGACUGAGAUACGGCCCAGACUCCUACGGGAGGCAGCAGUGGGGAAUAUUGCACAAUGGGCGCAAGCCUGAUGCAGCGACGCCGCGUGGGGGAUGACGGCCUUCGGGUUGUAAACCUCUUUCGACAGGGACGAAGCUUUGGUGACGGUACCUGUAUAAGAAGCACCGGCUAACUACGUG